RNAcentral lists this ribosomal RNA (600 nucleotides) under Saccharomyces cerevisiae (brewer's yeast). Its description in RNAcentral is "eukaryotic LSU rRNA". It matches the Rfam family "Eukaryotic large subunit ribosomal RNA", at positions 56 to 670 of the family's 3401-position model. Lineage: Eukaryota; Fungi; Ascomycota; Saccharomycetes; Saccharomycetales; Saccharomycetaceae. The record is from RNAcentral.
GAAAAGAAACCAACCGGGAUUGCCUUAGUAACGGCGAGUGAAGCGGCAAAAGCUCAAAUUUGAAAUCUGGUACCUUCGGUGCCCGAGUUGUAAUUUGGAGAGGGCAACUUUGGGGCCGUUCCUUGUCUAUGUUCCUUGGAACAGGACGUCAUAGAGGGUGAGAAUCCCGUGUGGCGAGGAGUGCGGUUCUUUGUAAAGUGCCUUCGAAGAGUCGAGUUGUUUGGGAAUGCAGCUCUAAGUGGGUGGUAAAUUCCAUCUAAAGCUAAAUAUUGGCGAGAGACCGAUAGCGAACAAGUACAGUGAUGGAAAGAUGAAAAGAACUUUGAAAAGAGAGUGAAAAAGUACGUGAAAUUGUUGAAAGGGAAGGGCAUUUGAUCAGACAUGGUGUUUUGUGCCCUCUGCUCCUUGUGGGUAGGGGAAUCUCGCAUUUCACUGGGCCAGCAUCAGUUUUGGUGGCAGGAUAAAUCCAUAGGAAUGUAGCUUGCCUCGGUAAGUAUUAUAGCCUGUGGGAAUACUGCCAGCUGGGACUGAGGACUGCGACGUAAGUCAAGGAUGCUGGCAUAAUGGUUAUAUGCCGCCCGUCUUGAAACACGGACCAAG